This 66-nucleotide transfer RNA is filed under the name Fukomys damarensis (Damara mole-rat). It matches the Rfam family "tRNA". From Rfam's summary of the family: Transfer RNA (tRNA) molecules are approximately 80 nucleotides in length. Their secondary structure includes four short double-helical elements and three loops (D, anti-codon, and T loops). The record is from Rfam by way of RNAcentral. Lineage: Eukaryota; Metazoa; Chordata; Mammalia; Rodentia; Bathyergidae.
GGUGUAGCUCAGUGGUAGAGCACUUGCUUUGCAUGCAUUAGGCCCUGGGUCUCAUCCCCAGAACCA